GGAGGUGUGGCCGAGUGGUUUAAGGCACCGGUCUUGAAAACCGGCGAAGGAGCAAUCCUUCCGUGGGUUCCUAUACAGACCUCCA
Molecule: transfer RNA, 85 nt
Filed under: Paraburkholderia atlantica
Lineage: Bacteria; Pseudomonadati; Pseudomonadota; Betaproteobacteria; Burkholderiales; Burkholderiaceae
Description: tRNA-Ser
Rfam family: tRNA (bases 1-63)
About the family: Transfer RNA (tRNA) molecules are approximately 80 nucleotides in length.
Source: RNAcentral